GACGAACGCUGGCGGCGUGCCUAACACAUGCAAGUCGAACGGAAAGGCCCUGCUUUUGUGGGGUGCUCGAGUGGCGAACGGGUGAGUAACACGUGAGUAACCUGCCCUUGACUUUGGGAUAACUUCAGGAAACUGGGGCUAAUACCGGAUAGGAGCUCCUGCUGCAUGGUGGGGGUUGGAAAGUUUUGGCGGUUGGGGAUGGACUCGCGGCUUAUCAGCUUGUUGGUGGGGUAGUGGCUUACCAAGGCUUUGACGGGUAGCCGGCCUGAGAGGGUGACAGGCCACAUUGGGACUGAGAUACGGCCCAGACUCCUACGGGAGGCAGCAGUGGGGAAUAUUGCACAAUGGGCGGAAGCCUGAUGCAGCAACGCCGCGUGCGGGAUGACGGCCUUCGGGUUGUAAACCGCUUUCGCCUGUGACGAAGCGUGAGUGACGGUAAUGGGUAAAGAAGCACCGGCUAACUACGUG
This 468-nucleotide ribosomal RNA is filed under the name uncultured bacterium. Its description in RNAcentral is "partial 16S ribosomal RNA". It matches the Rfam family "Bacterial small subunit ribosomal RNA", at positions 28 to 507 of the family's 1533-position model. The record is from RNAcentral.